UGUUGGUUUGUAGGAAAUGGAGAAAUUUGGGUUUCAUUUCCUUCCCAGAAACCGCUGUGGCACUGCACCAGGACUCUUCUUUCUCCUAGAAAAUACCAAGUUCACUUUCUGCCCAGGUUGACCUAGGGAAGGCACAGUGGUUUCCUCGUGCCUUUCUCAUCUUCCAAGUCCAUCAGCCCCCUCAUCUUUCCAAUCCCCUGUCAGUCCGGCCACCUGCUAUCUCCAUUCAGGUCUGGUUGUAGAUUGCAGCCCAUGCCUAUCUUAAGACCCAGACUGAAGUUGUAGCAAGAAGAAUGAAGCUUAGACAUCUGUGCAGAUUUCCUGACUAGGCACUCUGGUGUCCCUACUUCACUGCCUCCACCUCUACUCCUGCCCUGGUUUCCUGCUUCUCUCCUUUUGCCACCGUCUCUGGCCUCCUCAGCCCCACUUCACAUCACUGAGUCCUGACACCCACUUCCAUGGGUUCUAGGGGAGAGGAGAGGCGAGGGUCGGCCCUGCUCUGCACUAUAUCUCCCGCUUACUCUCCAGAACCUCCACAAUAAAUGGACUGGGCUAA
Molecule: long non-coding RNA, 556 nt
Organism: Herpailurus yagouaroundi (jaguarundi)
Lineage: Eukaryota; Metazoa; Chordata; Mammalia; Carnivora; Felidae
Exons: 4
Source: RefSeq, a predicted model, not a curated record